CUUACUGCAACUACACCAGCGUGCGCCGUGUUACUGUCUGGCUUUCCGGGGCGAGGCGCGGGGUGUUUCACCCGAGCAGCUCCCGACGUCUGUCCUUCCCAGCCGCGAACCAUUCAGCGCCACCCGGGCCGGUUACGCACCGUAGCGCGGACGUUCACCGGGAUCGUCUGUCGGUGUCCAAAACAGACGGUGGGAGGCACGCGCACAAAUGGACCGGUCUAACGGCUACGACUCCCGUCUACAGAUGCUGGCAACACCGCACAUCUCUCACCCUCUUCCGAACAGAGCCUAACUCUAUGUCGUCUUUGGAGACAUGAAAAGUCGAGGUAGAUUUCUUCCUUGAAUAGAUGCCAGAUGACCAGCGACUCUUUCGCCGUCUCUUCCUUUGGACUGAAGGAAGAAGAGGAUGCUUUGUAAAAGCCUUGAAGCGCUUAUCCUGGGACAGACGAUUUGUGACAUCACGCAAGAAGAGGCGCAGCUCCCGCAGGGUGUCUUCCUCUUGUUCUGCCAGUCUUCGGGCCUCCUGCUCUGUCAGCUGGCGUGGAGGAGGAGCGGUGGCGACCGCAAGCACUUCUACAGUUUGGUGCACUAUAAUAGAGAGUCGACAAUUUUUCUUUUCAAUAAAUUC
Long non-coding RNA from Entelurus aequoreus (snake pipefish), 628 nucleotides. RefSeq lists it as uncharacterized. NCBI's taxonomy places the organism in Eukaryota, Metazoa, Chordata, Actinopteri, Syngnathiformes, Syngnathidae. The transcript has 3 exons. The record is from RefSeq and is a predicted model, not a curated record.